AAUGCAAGUCGAACGGAUUGAAGCGAGUAGUAAUACAAACUUCAGUCAGUGGCGCACGGGUGCGUAACACGUGAGUAACAUGCCCUGUAGUCGUGAAUAGCCCUCCGAAAGGGGGAUUAAUACACGAUGGUCCCGCAAGGGUAAAGGUGGCUUCGGCUGCCGCUAUAGGAUUGGCUCGCGGCCUAUCAGCUAGUUGGGGAGGUAACGGCUCACCAAGGCGACGACGGGUACCUGGUCUGAGAGGACGAUCAGGCACACUGGAACUGAGACACGGUCCAGACACCUACGGGUGGCAGCAGUCGAGAAUAAUUCACAAUGGGGGCAACCCUGAUGGUGCAACGCCGCGUGGAGGAUGAAGGUCUUCGGAUUGUAAACUCCUGUCAUCUGGGAGUAAGGCGUGGCGAUGAAUAGUCGACACGAUUGAUAGUACCAGAAGAGGAAGGGACGGCUAACUUCGUGCCAGCAGCCGCGGUAAUACGAAGGUCCCAAGCGUUGUUCGGAAUCACUGGGCGUAAAGGGAGCGUAGGCGGCGUGGUAAGUCAGAUGUGAAAUCCCGGGGCUCAACCCCGGAACUGCAUCCGAUACUGCCAUGCUUGAGGGUUGGAGAGGUAGCUGGAAUUCUCGGUGUAGCAGUGAAAUGCGUGGAUAUCGAGAGGAACACUCGUGGCGAAGGCGAGCUACUGGACAACAUCUGACGCUGAGGCUCGAAGGCUAGGGUAGCGAAAGGGAUUAGAUACCCCUGUAGUCCUAGCAGUAAACGGUGUGCGCUUGGUGUGAGGGGAUUCGACCCCCCUUGUGCCGGAGCUAACGCGUUAAGCGCACCGCCUGGGAAGUACGGCCGCAAGGCUAAAACUCAAAGAAGAUUGACGGGGACCCGCACAAGCGGUGGAGUAUGUGGCUUAAUUCGAUGCAACGCGAAGAACCUUACCAAGGCUUGACAUGCAUCUCUAAGCACGUGAAAGCGUGUGACUCUUCGGAGGAUUUGCACAGGUGCUGCAUGGUCGUCGUCAGCUCGUGUCGUGAGAUGUUGGUUAAGUCCUGCAACGAGCGCAACCCCUGUGAUAGUUGCCAGCGUUCGUCGGGGACUCUAAUCAGACUGCCCAGAUCACUGGAGAGGUAGGGACGACGUCAGUUCAGUAUGACGUACGUCUGGCUGCCCACGUACUACAUGUCAGUACAAUGGAGAACG
This 1189-nucleotide ribosomal RNA is filed under the name Luteolibacter algae. RNAcentral describes it as "bacterial SSU rRNA". It matches the Rfam family "Bacterial small subunit ribosomal RNA", at positions 54 to 1251 of the family's 1533-position model. Lineage: Bacteria; Pseudomonadati; Verrucomicrobiota; Verrucomicrobiia; Verrucomicrobiales; Verrucomicrobiaceae. The record is from RNAcentral.